Molecule: long non-coding RNA, 693 nt
Filed under: Monodon monoceros (narwhal)
Lineage: Eukaryota; Metazoa; Chordata; Mammalia; Artiodactyla; Monodontidae
Description: lncRNA (ENSMMNG00015018826.1)
Source: RNAcentral
AUCGGCAGGUGGACGCUCAACCACUGCGCCACCAGGGAAGCACUAAAAGUUAUUCUUUUAAACAGAUUCACUCAACGGCUCCGCAUCCCACUGCGGUGUUUUGCAGUCUCUUGCAGUCCUGAAAGAACUAGCCUCAGUGAGCUACAGAGCCAAGCCACGCGGGGUAGAGAAGCCUCCUCUUUCGUGCAUAACCCUUUAAACCCUCCGGGAGGGUGUGGCACCAGGGCUUAUGGGAAAUGUAGUCUUACGUUCCCUGGCUCACACUGCGCGUGGUUCAGUAAGCCCUCUGCCGCGGCUCGUCCUGCGCACGUGCAGUUCACUAGCCCCGGUGUCUCGCUUUUCCGGGUCUUGCGGAGAAAAUCCUGGACCGUCCAGGUCUGCGCGCGCUCAGGGAGCGGGUGCUGCCUGAGUCAGAGCUGCGGCUGUACAUACAGCCUUCUCUGUACUUUCCCAAAAGGAACAGAAGAAGAACAAGUCCCCGGUGAGUUGUUUAUUCAUUUCUCACAUUGUCUUCCAUUGCAAAAAUGAUUCAAGAUUAAAAUGAUAAAAAUUAUUAAGGAAUAUAUAGAGUUAACAGAUCUAAAACAAGGAAAAGUCAACAUUUAAUUAUAUGGAGGUAAUCAUAGUUGCUUUGUUAGUAUAUAUAUUACACAUAUUGUAUAACUCUCAUUUUUACAAUAAUAAUUAUGUGCG